CCGUCAAGGUUUUUUAAUUAUUAAGGGAAAGGGGGACUGAGCCCAACAAGAGCUGACAAAUAAAUUUAAGACAAUGAGUUUGGUGUUGAAGUAAGAGUCUUUUUGCACUAAAUAGAUCGUGUAUUAAAUUGUCUCUGAAUUUAUUGGGUCGGCUCGCACAUCGGCACAUGUGGUGACCUUACCAUUCUUGUCUCUGCAUUUAAUACUCCCUCCGUUUUUUUAUAUAAAUCGUUUUAGAGAAAUUUUUAUGUUCCAAAUUAUAU
Molecule: long non-coding RNA, 263 nt
Filed under: Brassica napus (rape)
Lineage: Eukaryota; Viridiplantae; Streptophyta; Magnoliopsida; Brassicales; Brassicaceae
Description: long non-coding RNA (BNAP_LNC003077)
Source: RNAcentral